AAGCAAGGAAUAGAGCUAGAAAGAAAACUCAGGCCCUCCUACUGGUACCUUGGAGCACCCACCCAGACCACACUUCCUCCCUGGUUUUCAAGGGUACAUUAACAUAAGACAAUGGCACUUUCAAAAAGCCACCCGAAAAUAGGGGUGCUUCAACCUGCCUGAUCUACAGAUUUGUCAGAGCAAGAGAUGCUGUCUGGGAUGUUUCCCUUCACCAGCUCCAGUCAGAGAUGACCCCAUUCAGGUAACUCCUGAAUUGUGUGACAACCUGUGAAUGAAGCUGAGACACAGCCAGGCAAGGGGUGAAAACAGCGCUGAACCGGGCUGGACUGCUGCCCCAGCAUCCUACUGUGAAGGCCCUGCGGGUGGAGUGUGUCUCUGCCACCAGCACAGCUCCCUGGUGAGGUUUCUGUACACGUGUGCCUAUGUGAAUCUUUGCCACCUGUGGACAUGCCCAAAGAGUCCAGAAGAAGGCAAUGAACACCCCAGAGCUACAGGGUCCUGUGAACAAGUUUCUGCAGGAGGAGCAGGACCAAGUAAAAUAGGAGCCUGUCAUCUAAAACAAGCUUUGUUGUAUGGAUGGCCUAAGCCUAUGCACUUCCUUGCUGUCCUCAUUCAUGUAAGUUCAGCGAAGCGCUGUGUCUGCCCAGAGACACACACACGCGCGUGCGCACACACACACACCCAUGUACACAAAUAUCUAUAUACACAUAUAUAUUACACACAUAUAUACACUCUAUACGCAUAUACAUGCAUGCAUAUGCACUAUACACAUACACACACACACACUCACAGACACAGGCAUGCACAUACGCUUGUUGGUCAUUACCAAGGCUUUUCUUUCUCUAAUACGCUCAUCUUCUAUUUGAAGGCAUUGUGUGAGGCACCAGUAAGAUAGCUACCAGGGUAAAGGGGCUUAUUGCCAAGCCUGGCAACCUGAGUUCAAUCCUUGAAACCCACAUAGUAGAAGGAGAAAACUGACCCCCCAUAGUUGUCUUCUGACCUAUAGUUCUGAGGCACAUUAGGGUACACACACAUACACACACACAGUAAACAAACAAACAAACAAACUUAU
Molecule: non-coding RNA, 1072 nt
Organism: Myodes glareolus (Bank vole)
Lineage: Eukaryota; Metazoa; Chordata; Mammalia; Rodentia; Cricetidae
Source: RefSeq, a predicted model, not a curated record